RNAcentral lists this ribosomal RNA (430 nucleotides) under Legionella pneumophila. RNAcentral describes it as "partial 23S ribosomal RNA". It matches the Rfam family "Bacterial large subunit ribosomal RNA", at positions 1 to 468 of the family's 2925-position model. Lineage: Bacteria; Pseudomonadati; Pseudomonadota; Gammaproteobacteria; Legionellales; Legionellaceae. The record is from RNAcentral.
GGUCAAGAAGAGAAGCGCAAACGGUGGAUGCCUUGGCAGUAAGAGGCGAAGAAGGACGUGGAAUCCUGCGAAAAGCUAUGGGGAGCUGGAAACGAGCGUUGAGCCAUAGAUGUCCGAAUGGGGGAACCCGGCUGCAGCGAUGCGGUCAUUUGCAUUUGAAUACAUAGGAUGCAAAGGCGAACUCGGGGAACUGAAACAUCUAAGUACCCGAAGGAAAAGAAAUCAAGAGAGAUUCUCCAAGUAGCGGCGAGCGAACGGGGAGGAGCCUGGCGUGAUUUAUUAUUGAACUGAGUAGAACAAUUUGGGAAAGUUGGCCGUAGAGGGUGAAAGCCCCGUAUACGAAGGUUUGAUGAGGAACUAGGCACGCGAGCAAGUAGGCCGGGACACGUGAAAUCCUGGUUGAAGAUGGGUGGACCAUCAUCCAAGGCUA